AGCUCCAAUAGCGUAUAUUAAAGUUGUUGCAGUUAAAAAGCUCGUAGUUGGAUUUCUGUUUGAAAUUGGUUCGGAGACAUUUGUCAACUUAUCGAUUCAGACAUUCUUCUACUCUUCAGUGGCAACACUGUUGCGGUAGAGCCUUUACUUUGAGAAAAUUAGAGUGUUUCAAGCAAGCUUUUGCUUUGAAUACUACAGCAUGGAAUAAUACGAUAGGACUUCGGACCUAUUUGUUGGUUUCUGGUCUGAAGUAAUGAUUAAUAGGGACAGUUGGGGGCACUCGUAUUCGAUCGUCAGCGGUGAAAUGCGUGGAUUGAUCGAAGACGAACUACUGCGAAAGCAUUUGCCAAAGAUGUUUUCA
RNAcentral lists this ribosomal RNA (361 nucleotides) under uncultured eukaryote. RNAcentral describes it as "SSU rRNA". It matches the Rfam family "Eukaryotic small subunit ribosomal RNA", at positions 587 to 972 of the family's 1831-position model. The record is from RNAcentral.